This 841-nucleotide long non-coding RNA is filed under the name Hordeum vulgare. RNAcentral describes it as "long non-coding RNA (HVUL_LNC013539)". Lineage: Eukaryota; Viridiplantae; Streptophyta; Magnoliopsida; Poales; Poaceae. The record is from RNAcentral.
CUUCUCCCUUUCAUGGAUAGAAUAUCGUAGAUAGAAGAAUACAUGCUUAAUUAAGGCUUCAAUGGCCUACUUACCUCUCGGCUAUCAAAAAGGGCACAUAUCCUUCUCCAGAGUACGAGUAAGCCAAUAUUAAUGUUAGUUUUGAGCCACAGUCAUGCAACCAUGUCCUCUUGUCGAUGAAGGCUUUCAGCCCUCGUAUUAUCCAGGAAUUCUUGAGGUCGAACAGUGACUGUCUCUCUUCCAAAGUGUGAUCAUCUUCUACAGUGGGCUAAACGAAAGAUCAUGCCGAGGGGCAUACUCGGUAUAAUCAAUGUGUCAAUGGUAUCUAUUUCAUGGAAAUCACCCACACACACUAUGAGCUAAGAACCAUGCAAAAAUGUUGUUUUCAGCAGCAGCAGCAGCUCAUACUUCAAACACAACUUCUGUAUCCGUGGGAUCGCUUCAUUAAUUUGACUAAAGUCAUCCUUCUUCUUUCCCAGCUGCCCGAAUAAGUUUAUCAUUCAAAAGUAACAAGUCCAUCUUUUUCAUGAAGACUUUCCUCCACUAUUGCCCUAUUAGAGCUAUCUGUUAUUGGGAGAGAGCACCGUAAUGAAUCACACUAUAGAAGCACAAGUUUUAGGUAGGCCAAAGCAUAACCUCAAACCGAAGGGGCGGAAAGGAUUCGGGAUAACCAGGCCAAGCAGAAGCUCCAUCUCUUGCUUGCUGUCUACCGAUUUUGGAUAGUGAGUGCCCCUGCCUGCUGAGUGGCAAGUUUCUCUUUUCGAUAGACUGUUUUUGGUCAUUUGACGCAACUCGUGCUCUUGUUCUUUAUGUAAGAUAUUGUUCAUUCUUGCACUUGAGA